This 508-nucleotide ribosomal RNA is filed under the name uncultured bacterium. RNAcentral describes it as "bacterial SSU rRNA". It matches the Rfam family "Bacterial small subunit ribosomal RNA", at positions 37 to 518 of the family's 1533-position model. The record is from RNAcentral.
UGGCGGCGUGCCUAAUACAUGCAAGUCGAACGGCUUUUCUAUGGAAGCUUGCUUCCACUGAGAAGAUAGUGGCGAACGGGUGAGUAACAACGUGGGUAACCUGCCCAUAAGAGGGGGAUAACAUCCGGAAACGGGUGCUAAUACCGCAUAGUUUUCUUGAUUGCAUGAUUGAGAAGGAAAGACGGCCUUUGUGCUGUCGCUUAUGGAUGGACCCGCGGCGUAUUAGUUAGUUGGUGAGGUAACGGCUCACCAAGACGAUGAUACGUAGCCGACCUGAGAGGGUGAUCGGCCACAUUGGGACUGAGACACGGCCCAAACUCCUACGGGAGGCAGCAGUAGGGAAUCUUCCGCAAUGGACGAAAGUCUGACGGAGCAACGCCGCGUGAGUGAAAGAAGGUUUUCGGAUCGUAAAACUCUGUUGUCAGAGAAGAACAAGUUGGAGAGUAACUGCUCCAGCCUUGACGGUAUCUGACCAGAAAGCCACGGCUAACUACGUGCCAGCCGCCGC